Bombus terrestris (buff-tailed bumblebee) is the source of this 2263-nucleotide long non-coding RNA. RefSeq lists it as uncharacterized. The record is from RefSeq and is a predicted model, not a curated record. NCBI's taxonomy places the organism in Eukaryota, Metazoa, Arthropoda, Insecta, Hymenoptera, Apidae. The transcript is spliced from 5 exons.
UUGUAGUCCUAUAUACGAUUUCGAACAAGGACACGAAACAUUCUAAAAACCGAGCACGGAUUCCCUUCGAAGCGUUAUAUGUCGAGUAUUCUUGCGGUCAGUAAAUACGCUGCUCUGGUGACAGUGUAUACAUCGUGCUCGCUACACUCUGUUUUUCCCGAAUGUAACUUCUCUCGUGUGUACUCUCGCUUCCAGGGAUCACCGGUAUGAAACACAACCGUAUGCGUUUCACGAGAUGUAAAUAUUUACGCCGCUGGCCCUUGGAUAUAUUACAUCGAAAUUCUAGAGAGAACGGUCGCGGUUCUUUUUGCGUCGCGAACUUAACCUCUUCUGUACGCGCUGUAUUUUCGUGACGCGAGUUUUUUACGCUGUUCGCGCCUUAAUAUCGUACUCGUCAUAAAUUUCGAUGACACAUCGAGCGUAAUGUUCGUUCCUAACGCGAUCGCGAAUCUCUUUCGAAUAUAUGUGGACGUGAACUCGUGAGUACUGUUCGUGAGAAUAAAAAUUCGUGGACAACGAUCCCGCAAUAGGUAUGUAAGCGGGCUUAGAGCGUCAUUUUCAAUGUCGCAGUCGUACCAACUGUUCGAGAAAGAAUGCAGUCACACGAUGAAAUUUAUUUGGAAUCGAAACGCUAUUCUGGACUUGUGACGCGAUGACGUGAAUACGUAGUCCGCAGCUGGCAAGACCGGCUGAAGAGGCAGAGGAAAGGAACAACGAAGAAGCUUCGCAGAGGUGCAGAAUCCGAAGAAUGCCUCGUCAUCUUGAAGAACCGCUCCAGAGAUUCAUGCCGGACGUAGACAAAUGCGCGGUUACCGAUCCUGAUUCGACGAUAUAGCUGGCGAAGUCAGAAAGUCAGGGACGUCGAUUACAAAAGGAAUCCGAAGGAUGGAGUGACGACGAGCCUCGCGAUAACGAGACACGGACUAACCGUUCAAAAGACUACUAUCCUGAUCCUGCAAGGACGAUAUGUCACGUGGUUUUGCAAUAGAGGGGAUACUAUUACAUGCUUACCCCAAAAUCUGCUCGCCUAAUACAAAACUGGUCGUCUGCUUGAAUUUUCGAUUGACGAGUAUUCGACAGCCGAUCAACAGCAACUAAUAUAUUCUUUAAAAAUAAUUAUAUGACAGGGAGCGAUACUGGUGUACGUGACUCAGCUACGCAUGUCAAGCGAAUCGAGCGAACCAGUUGCUUUUCCAUAAUAUCCAGGCAACAGGCCGGAGGCUACAGCUUCCAGCAUCCACCUCUGGAUCAACGCGGGCAUAUGGAGUAAACAAGCAUGACAUGGUAUACAUUCCUGGUAGCAUCGAAACACAAUGAGAUGUCGUAAACGCAAGAAGAUGACAGAAAAUCGAUAGGACGCCUUCCAGAUCUGAACCGACUUGCUCCUUACGAUUCUUCGCUGCUUUCUUUCAUGCUCGAAUAAACAUAGUAACGUGAUGCUGACCUGAUAUUUUUCAGACGUUGCGUGUCUUACUGCUCUCUUCUUUCAUACUCGACACUAUGCGUCAAAAAAAUAUUGAGUCGCAAUAAUAUGUAUUGGUGAAUUGGAAACUAUUACUACCCUCGAUACUAUCCUGUUACGGUGACACGUCAUAGUCGUCAUGUCUCGACAAUUUGAUGUGAAAUCGAUAAAUUGCUCGAGGCCUGUUUCCUUUACAAAUACACAUUGUACACAUGUCUUUUAUCCGUAAUUCUGUGCAAGAAUAUAUUAUUGCGUAUAUCAAACAGGUGGAUAAAACCCAUGUGAUUGAAACAGUAAUAUUUAAAUAAUAAAGUGCAAAGAACGCAUAUCUUAGUAUGUAUUUUUUUUUAAUAAAUAUCUUUAUUAGCAUGUACAGAAAAAAUUAUAGAUUAAACAAAUAAUUUUUUAGAGUGGGAAAGUAUAUAACAUUAUGUAGUACAACGAUAUGAAGAAAAGAAAUCUUGAGACGGAAUGGUUCACCCUAACUUCGACAAAUACGUUUGCGUGCCUUAGUAUCGAUUUCACGUCAGUUUCAUGUCAUAAAGACGUCAAACACACGGUUUUCAUCAGGACAACAUCCUCGGCUUGAAUUUACGACCACUGGCAAGCAACAGGUCCCGCGGGAACGAGUCCUCUCACAUGCAAAGAGAAUCCAAUUUCCCUUCACUUUUGUCAAACUAAGACUAUAUCAACAAUUUCUUUUCAUAUAACGCACUUGUUUGUUAAUAAACCAACACUCUGUUCCAUAAUUAAACUCUUAAAAUUUAAACAACACCAAUGAAAAAUAGAAAUUAAAAAAUA